CCCGGGCCUUGUACACACCGCCCGUCACACCACGAGAGUUUGUAACACCCGAAGUCGGUGGAGUAACCGUAAGGAGCUAGCCGCUAAGGUGGGACAGAUGAUUGGGGUG
RNAcentral lists this ribosomal RNA (109 nucleotides) under uncultured bacterium. Its description in RNAcentral is "partial 16S ribosomal RNA". It matches the Rfam family "Bacterial small subunit ribosomal RNA", at positions 1373 to 1482 of the family's 1533-position model. The record is from RNAcentral.